RNAcentral lists this ribosomal RNA (515 nucleotides) under uncultured bacterium. RNAcentral's name for it is "partial 16S ribosomal RNA". It matches the Rfam family "Bacterial small subunit ribosomal RNA", at positions 29 to 523 of the family's 1533-position model. The record is from RNAcentral.
AACGAACGUUAGCGGCGCGCCUAACACAUGCAAGUCGCACGAGAAAGGGCUUCGGCUCCGGUAAAGUGGCGCACGGGUGAGUAACACGUGGGUAACCUGCCCUCGAGCGGGGGAUAACAUUCCGAAAGGAGUGCUAAUACCGCAUAAGACCACGACCUCGAAAGAGGAUGGGGUCAAAGCUGGCCUCCAUACAUAAGCUAGCACUUGAGGAUGGGCCGGCGGCGCAUCAGCUAGUUGGGGAGGUAACGGCUCACAAAGGCGAAGACGCGUAGCUGGUCUGAGAGGAUGAUCAGCCACACUGGAACUGAGACACGGUCCAGACUCCUACGGGAGGCAGCAGUGGGGAAUCCUGCGCAAUGGGCGAAAGCCUGACGCAGCGACGCCGCGUGAGUGAUGAAGGCCUUCGGGUUGUAAAGCUCUGUGGGGCGAGACGAAUAAGUGCAGCCUAAUACGUUGCAUGAUGACGGUAUCGCCUUAGCAAGCACCGGCUAACUCUGUGCCAGCAGCCGCAGUAA